UGGUAGAUGCACCUUAAUAAAUUACAGCCCUUAGCUUAACGCUAUGGGCUUUUUUAU
This 57-nucleotide small RNA is filed under the name Nostoc punctiforme PCC 73102. RNAcentral's name for it is "Nitrogen stress-induced RNA 1". It matches the Rfam family "Nitrogen stress-induced RNA 1". The record is from Rfam by way of RNAcentral. Lineage: Bacteria; Bacillati; Cyanobacteriota; Cyanophyceae; Nostocales; Nostocaceae.